Peromyscus eremicus (cactus mouse) is the source of this 1984-nucleotide long non-coding RNA. RefSeq lists it as uncharacterized. NCBI's taxonomy places the organism in Eukaryota, Metazoa, Chordata, Mammalia, Rodentia, Cricetidae. The transcript is spliced from 2 exons. The record is from RefSeq and is a predicted model, not a curated record.
GACAACUCUAACUGUGCCAGUCGCCUCUGCCCACAAAGACCCUCUCCGUUUUCACGGUCCCCGUUGCUGACCCACAAAACGGUCGCAAAAGUUCCACCAACCUGCCCAGGCGCCACACCUUACAAUGGCAGUGCAGCCGAACCACUUUUUAAAGAUCUAGACAGUGGAGACCCGUCAUCUCUUUUCUCCUCAACCCCAGAACAUUCCACCUCUGGCCUCCGAGCCCCAGCCUCAGUUCCCCUCCAGGCCCUAGGAACCCUGCUCUCCGGCGGCACGGCCUGUGGACCCCAGACCGGCUCUCCGUUUGGGUCUGGAACUCUCCCGGCGCCGCCUGACCCGAUUCAGUCAAAGGAUGGCGGUGGAUGGGGUGACCUGGAUCACCGCAGCCGGCAAACUUACCCCAGCCGCCAUGGUGAUUCCGCAGAGAAAGGGGGUGGGGCUGUCGGUGCUGCCGCAAAGUAAGCCGCCAGGGAGACAAGGGAGAGAGGAAGGGGACAGCGUGCGGAAACAGCGGCCGGAAAGCGAGGACGGCAUAAAAGGCAUACGCACGACAGUUCCGUCUCCAGCCGCGCUGAGUUGGAAAAAGCAAGGGGUGGGGCCCACGGCCCGGAGCGCUGGCGCCUGCGUAGUAUGGCUCUGGACAGGACCGCCCCGGCCGUGUGGCCGACCAAUCGGAAGCCUAAUAGGAGACAGAGCUCACCGAGGGCGGGAAGAGUGUGAGAACCGGCGGAAGCACCGCCCCUCGACCGCUUGUAGCUGUAUCCUAUUACGAACUACAACCGCAAGGAAAGGGUGGCAGUUUACGAAAUUCCUUUUGUUCCUUUUCGGGUUUUUCUAUUAAGGGAUAUGUCUGUCCAGCCGGGGCCCGUGGCCGAAAACAUCUGGAAGUAGGUCUGCUCUGAUUAAACGAUCUUGCUGUUAACUUCUACAACAAAGGGGACCGGACCAAUUUGCCGUGUCACUGCACCUCUCAGGCCGGGCUGCGCCUCAGAGGAUCGGAUCCAAGAAGAGGUCCAGAUCACAGCCAUGAACAUCAAAGCUGUUUACAGAAGAGCCAAAAGGAUGGACCACACAGCCUAGGUACCAAAGAAUAAAGAUUAAAAGACAGUAGAGGGCCAGCAAGAUGGCGCAGAAAGUAAAGGCACUUGCCACCAGGUCUGAUAACCUGAGUUCAAUCCCCAGGACCCAUGGGGGUGGAAGAAGAGAACCAACUCCUGAAAGUUACCCUGUGACCUCUAUAAGCAUGUGUGUCUCUUGUGCACACACAUAAAGAGGGGUAAAAAAGGCGGGGAGGUGCAGAGGUUCAAGAACAAACAUACUGGGGGGCAAAGAUGGAAGAGCCAGGAAAUGGAACACCUGCAGCUGCGGGGGGACUGAGGGUUCAAACAGGGGCAGGUAGACCAACAGAGGUGUCAGAGAGCUCAGACUUAGAGCAGGGGACUCACCAGGGAAGAACUCUGUGAAGACCUCCUGCAUCAGCGCCACAACAAGAUUCCGAAGCUGCCGCUCAGCCUCAGACAACUCCCUCAGUUCCACAAGCUUUACCAUCUGUGCCUCCACAUCUGGGGCCUCGGCCAGUGCUUGGGCCAGCUGUCGACUAUUUGAGUCCACUCCUUUGGGAGACUUGGAGGCUGGGCUCUGGAACUCCUUCUGCUCCCUCGGCCGAACACGCAGUCCAUGCUCCCCCAGCCUGUGCUUGGGCUGUGAUAAGACAGCCUCCCGAGCACUUAUAUCACCCAUCUCCACGAUGGCAAACACCCCCUGGCAAACCACACAAGAGCAAGGAUCAUGGUUUGGCAAUCAAGAAUUCAAGCAUGUUUUAACAGUAGAGGAGAAUCUUCGAAAUGGGAACCAACCCACAUACUGGGAAUAUUUACUUGCUGUUUUUGUAAAAGGGAACAUAUUUAGUUAGAUGAGUAAUCGUCACUCUUAUCCCAUACAUUUUCAUUCCUGGUUGCCAAUUAAAACCAUCUAUUGUCUUCUA